RNAcentral lists this small nuclear RNA (98 nucleotides) under Sorex araneus (European shrew). The record is from RNAcentral. Lineage: Eukaryota; Metazoa; Chordata; Mammalia; Eulipotyphla; Soricidae.
GUGCUCACUUUGGAAGCUCAGGUACUAAAAUUAGAAUCAUACAGAGCAUGGCCUCUGAGCAAGAGCACAUGCAAGUUUGUGACACAUUCCUUAUUUUU